UUAAAGGGCCGCGGUAUUUUGACCGUGCGAAGGUAGCAUAAUCAUUAGUCUUUUAAUUGAGGGCUUGUAUGAAUGGUUGGACAAAAAAUAAGCUGUCUCGAUUAUAAAAAUUGAAUUUAACUUUUAAGUGAAAAGGCUUAAAUAAUUUAAGGGGACGAUAAGACCCUAUAAAGCUUUACAGUUAUCUAAUUAAAUUAUAAAUUGUUAGUUUAACAUAAUUAAAUUAGUGGUUGUUUCGUUGGGGCGACGAGAAUAUAAUUUGUAACUGUUCUUUUAUAAUUUGUUACAAUAAUUUUUGGUUAAUAAAUGAUCCUUUAUUAAAGAUUAAAAGAUUAAGUUACUUUAGGGAUAACAGCGUAAUCUUCUUUGAAAGUUCAUAUCGACAAGAAGGGUUGCGACCUCGAUGUUGAAUUAAGGUUUCUUUGUGGUGCAGCAGCUGCAGUGAGAAGGUCUGUUCGACCUUUAAUUCCUUACUGAUC
RNAcentral lists this ribosomal RNA (479 nucleotides) under Parapenaeopsis tenella. RNAcentral describes it as "partial large subunit ribosomal RNA". It matches the Rfam family "Bacterial large subunit ribosomal RNA", at positions 1923 to 2605 of the family's 2925-position model. The record is from RNAcentral. Lineage: Eukaryota; Metazoa; Arthropoda; Malacostraca; Decapoda; Penaeidae.